GAGUUUGAUCCUGGCUCAGAUUGAACGCUGGCGGCAUGCCUUACACAUGCAAGUCGAACGGCAGCACGGGAGCUUGCUCUUGGUGGCGAGUGGCGAACGGGUGAGUAAUGCAUCGGAACGUAUCCUGGAGUGGGGGAUAACGUAGCGAAAGUUACGCUAAUACCGCAUAUUCUGUGAGCAGGAAAGCGGGGGACCUUCGGGCCUCGCGCUCUUGGAGCGGCCGAUGUCGGAUUAGCUAGUUGGUGAGGUAAAGGCUCACCAAGGCGACGAUCCGUAGCAGGUCUGAGAGGAUGAUCUGCCACACUGGAACUGAGACACGGUCCAGACUCCUACGGGAGGCAGCAGUGGGGAAUUUUGGACAAUGGGGGCAACCCUGAUCCAGCCAUGCCGCGUGAGUGAAGAAGGCCUUC
This 410-nucleotide ribosomal RNA is filed under the name bacterium enrichment culture clone ALO1_GLFRUDD03G65NH. RNAcentral describes it as "bacterial SSU rRNA". It matches the Rfam family "Bacterial small subunit ribosomal RNA", at positions 9 to 419 of the family's 1533-position model. The record is from RNAcentral.